UAUUAAUACCGCAUACGACCUACGGGAGAAAGGGGGCAGUUUACUGCUCUCGCUAUUAGAUGAGCCUAAGUCGGAUUAGCUAGAUGGUGGGGUAAAGGCCUACCAUGGCGACGAUCUGUAGCUGGUCUGAGAGGAUGAUCAGCCACACCGGGACUGAGACACGGCCCGGACUCCUACGGGAGGCAGCAGUGGGGAAUAUUGGACAAUGGGGGAAACCCUGAUCCAGCCAUGCCGCGUGUGUGAAGAAGGCCUUUUGGUUGUAAAGCACUUUAAGCAGUGAAGAAGACUCUUCGGUUAAUACCCGGAGACGAUGACAUUAGCUGCAGAAUAAGCACCGGCUAACUCUGUGCCAGCAGCCGCGGUAAUACAGAGGGUGCAAGCGUUAAUCGGAAUUACUGGGCGUAAAGGGAGCGUAGGUGGCUCUAUAAGUCAGAUGUGAAAUCCCCGGGCUUAACCUGGGAACUGCAUCUGAAACUGUAGAGCUAGAGUAUGUGAGAGGGAGGUAGAAUUUCAGGUGUAGCGGUGAAAUGCGUAGAGAUCUGAAGGAAUACCGAUGGCGAAGGCAGCCUCCUGGCAUAAUACUGACACUGAGGCUCGAAAGCGUGGGUAGCAAACAGGAUUAGAUACCCUGGUAGUCCACGCCGUAAACGAUGUCUACUAGUCGUUGGGUCCCUUGAGGACUUAGUGACGCAGCUAACGCAAUAAGUAGACCGCCUGGGGAGUACGGCCGCAAGGUUAAAACUCAAAUGAAUUGACGGGGGCCCGCACAAGCGGUGGAGCAUGUGGUUUAAUUC
This 794-nucleotide ribosomal RNA is filed under the name Psychrobacter sp. Its description in RNAcentral is "bacterial SSU rRNA". It matches the Rfam family "Bacterial small subunit ribosomal RNA", at positions 161 to 952 of the family's 1533-position model. The record is from RNAcentral. Lineage: Bacteria; Pseudomonadati; Pseudomonadota; Gammaproteobacteria; Moraxellales; Moraxellaceae.